Molecule: long non-coding RNA, 3548 nt
Organism: Brassica napus (rape)
Lineage: Eukaryota; Viridiplantae; Streptophyta; Magnoliopsida; Brassicales; Brassicaceae
Exons: 2
Source: RefSeq, a predicted model, not a curated record
UACGAUUUGACUCACAACAACUGUUUUCCAUUUUUCAGUUUAGAUCUCUCUCACACUCUCACUCACUUUUUUUCUUUCUUUUUCUCGUAACCUCAAAUCAUUUGAUUCCUCAAACCCAGAAACAAGGUGAAGCCUCUGUAGCAGCCUCCGGUUACCGAGUUGACUCAUUCAAUAUAAAUCAAAUUAAUGGAGAUGGGAAGUGAAGGGUUGAUUGCAAGGAAGCUGACUUUUUGUAUCUCCAUGUUUUCUGGGAUUCUCCAUUUUAAUCUCCGACAACUCCAACUUUAUUUAUUGCUUUGAUGAAUUUACUCUGGAAAAUAAGUUCAGUGUUCUCACUUUUCAUGUUCUUCGGCUAGUGAGACAAGGGAAAACUAGGGUUAAUGUUGUAUAUGGUCUGAUUGAUGGUUGUAGGUACAAUCUGUCUGAGAAAUAUGGUGUACAUGUGGACACUUUUUUGCAAUACAUAUAUUAGGCCUCUAACCCAUUUGUAUAUAUAUCUAUAAGUGGAUUGUGUUAUAUUGUAGUAAUUUUAUAUGCACCUUAAGCUUGGUUGUGGCAUGUGUUAUCUUUUUAGUUAACUCUAGAAGAUUUUGGUGCAAAACAAGUUUCUCUUUUUCUGUCGUAUUAGAAUUAACAUAGACUUUAUUGAAGUUUUGUGAGUUCUUCUCAAGUAUAAACUUUAUAAUUGACAUUUGUAUAUAUGUACACCAAAAUACCCCUUCCGUUUCAUAUUAAGUGUCAUUGUAGAUGAAAUUUUUCAUUGCAAAAUAAGUGUCGUUUUAGCUUUUCGAUGCAGCAUUUAUUGAUUUUAUUAUGCAGAUUAUUUUUCUAUUGGUUGAAAUAGGAGUAGGUGUAUGGGUAUGGGUAAUGGUGUUUUUAUAUGGAAAACAUGCAAAACUAAAUGAUUUCUUAAUUUGUGUGCAAAAAUCUCAAACGACACUUAUUUAGAAACAGAGGGAGUAUUUAACUUUGUAUGCGUGGACUCUGAAAUUAGGUGUACACGUGGAUAUUUUUGUAGAUGUACAAGCGGUUUUGAAUUUGGAUUUUUUGGGUGUUUGUGUCUUUUUUUGGUCAAUUGUGCCUAAGUGAAUAUUGUUCUAAACAAAGUUGUUGGCGUAUGUAAGUAAGUAGAUGUUGUCAAAGUGCCUAUUGUGGAUUAAGUGUAUUGUCAAAGUGCCUAUCAUGGAAAAAGUUGUUCGAGUGAAUGUACACCUAGUCAGAGUGAAAUAUUUAGUGUACACUGCCUUUUUUUUUUGCUCAACACUCGAAACAUGGAGAAUAUUACACCUUGCAAACACCGGUCCUUUAAAUCAUAUGUGUACAUGUAAUUCCAUUUGACAAUAUAUAUAUAUAUAUAUAUAUAUAUGUAUAUCAUUCAAAGACCUUUAGAUGCAUGUAACAGAUUAUUAGUCAUGUGUGUACGAGGCUCUAUGUAUAACAACAGUAUAUAGCACGGAAACAAAAUCUUUCUGAAAUUUUGUCAAAUGAUGUACACGUGGAUGCUUGUGAAACAAUGUACAAAUGAAUCAUUGUACACAUUGAUAAUAAUAUUUACGUGUACACAUGUACGUCGUUGGCUGUGUGCAUAUAACAAAAACCCAAACUACACUUUUACAAAAUUUAUACUUAUAAACACUUCACUCUUACUAGUUUCUUAUCUUGCUUAAAAAUAGUUAAAAUACCAACAAUUCAACAAGCUCACUCCAAAGUGGGAUCCUUUUAUUGUCCUAUGAAUAUACAUUACAUCCAUUACUUUAAAAAUUACAAAGUCCAUGCACCUUACAAUAGAAAAGCAACGUUUUCACAACUGAUGUAAUUAAUAUCUCAAGAUAGAUUUUAAUCGUUAGGCAAUAUCACUAACUUUGAUACUUGAGAUUCCUCCAAAGGUAUUUUGGGUUGGCCAUGUCCACAAACGCCCAUCUUCUAUUAGGUGAACAACAAGGAGACAUUAUAAAAAAUCCCAGAAUUCAAGAACUUAACAAAAAGCAGGGAGAGCUAUAUGUUUAGCUUUUUGAAACUGAGUCAUUGUUUAUCAUUCACUAUAAUGUCAGACACUAACCUUUUCCUUCUCGCUGUUAACAAACAUAGCAUAAACGACUACUGUGAAAUAGACCUGAAGAAACACCACAAGCUCUAACACCGCAAUCCUCCCGUUAAGCCGUUCGGUGUAAGGUCUAAAACCUAACUCCACAUUCAACCCACCUGAAACCGGAUCCUUUACACUCCCCGGCGGGAAAUACAGUCCCGAGCUUCUUGAAGCAGACUCGACUGACUCUUUCUUAGAGUUUCUCAGCUCUGCUUUCUUCCAUGUCUCACUUUGGUAUAUGAGUCAGAUAUAUUGAGAGAUGGGACUCGAAUUCGUCGGAGUCUUUGGUCUCUAUUUAGUUUCUGAAUCCGGUUGAGUAUCCUCGGUUGAUUCGAUAUCGGUGGUGAGGACGGUGGGAGAUUUAAAAGUGUGUGGCUAUCCGGUUGGAAGAAAGUUCAUAGAUGGGAAAUGGGUCGUAAUUUGUAGAGAUGUUAUCGCCAUUUUGUUUUUUCAAAGCUUUGUGCCUCUUUCCUCCUUCUAUUACACCUCCUGUGCUUUCUAGAUCUAAAAUUUAAUUUUCAAUUUUUGUCUUUAGAAAAAUUAUUGAACAGUGGAAUAACUAAACUAGCAAGUUAUGUUAUCAACUAGGACAUAGUAAUACUUAGCAAAAGUUAGGGACAAGUCUGUAAUUCACCAAUAAAAAGUACUUCAGUAGCAAUAAGUGAUUGAGAGUGUAAUAAAAACUCAUAAGUGAUUGAAAAUGUAAUAAAAACUCAUAAAUUAACCUGCAACGAAAAUAACUCUUAAAAUAUAGCGUUGGUCGCAUAUAUCCCUUACUAAAUAUUAUAUCAAAUGUUUUUUUAUCAUAUCAAAAGUAGCUUUAAAAUAUUAUAUAAUCCGCUGAGCUCAUUAUCGUUUUAUCUCCUUAUCAAGGCUGAGCUCAUGCUCCGACCACCACCCCCGGAUCGACUCCUUCGCCACCGCUAUUGUCUUCCGCUCCGGCAUGAAGCUUAAUUCUUCUGCUCAAAUCAUCUCCGUCAUGUCCAGCUAUCACAGUGAACUCCUCCUCCCGGAAUCCAGCCGUCCUCAGUUUCCAAUCUGGUCACGACCUUAUUCCCAUCCAGCCAUGUCUCUUCCGCUGCUUCUUCGCACUCUGCUCCUCACGCCGCCGUCUCCAUCACAGCUACAAGUCAGCAUGCUCUCACCGGAAUCCAUGGACACGAAAAACUCCGCGUUGUGUCUUGCCAAGCUAGCUUCGGCGUCGUCCUAUCAAGCCUUGCCGUCGCGGAUCAAAGUGCAGCUCGAUCGAAGAGCAUCAAUGGUCAAACUUAGCAUAUUUGCAUCCCGUCCUCCAUCAUUUGUAGAAUUCCUUUUCUGACCUCAAACUUAUUAAUUUGCAGAUUGUUCUGCGAAUUCAGCCUCAAAUUUGCAAUUGUGCACUCUACCCCCCUGUUGUAUGCAAAUCAACAUGUAAAUGCAAUAAAUAUACUUAAAUGCAAUAAAUAUAAUAGAUUUGCUAAGA